RNAcentral lists this ribosomal RNA (464 nucleotides) under uncultured bacterium. Its description in RNAcentral is "partial 16S ribosomal RNA". It matches the Rfam family "Bacterial small subunit ribosomal RNA", at positions 339 to 795 of the family's 1533-position model. The record is from RNAcentral.
CUACGGGCGGCACCAGUGGGGAAUAUUGCACAAUGGGCGCAAGCCUGAUGCAGCCAUGCCGCGUGUAUGAAGAAGGCCUUCGGGUUGUAGAGUACUUUCAGCGGGGAGGAAGGGAGUAAAGUUAAUACCUUUGCUCAUUGACGUUACCCGCAGAAGAAGCACCGGCUAACUCCGUGCCAGCAGCCGCGGUAAUACGGAGGGUGCAAGCGUUAAUCGGAAUUACUGGGCGUAAAGCGCACGCAGGCGGUUUGUUAAGUCAGAUGUGAAAUCCCCGGGCUCAACCUGGGAACUGCAUCUGAUACUGGCAAGCUUGAGUCUCGUAGAGGGGGGUAGAAUUCCAGGUGUAGCGGGGAAAUGCGUAGAGAUCUGGAGGAAUACCGGUGGCGAAGGCGGCCCCCUGGACGAAGACUGACGCUCAGGUGCGAAAGCGUGGGGAGCAAACAGGAUUAGAUACCCCCGUAGUC